RNAcentral lists this ribosomal RNA (268 nucleotides) under uncultured Thalassovita sp. RNAcentral describes it as "uncultured Thalassobius sp. partial 16S ribosomal RNA". It matches the Rfam family "Bacterial small subunit ribosomal RNA", at positions 50 to 343 of the family's 1533-position model. Lineage: Bacteria; Pseudomonadati; Pseudomonadota; Alphaproteobacteria; Rhodobacterales; Roseobacteraceae. The record is from RNAcentral.
GCCUACACAUGCAAGUCGAGCGCACUCUUCGGAGUGAGCGGCGGACGGGUUAGUAACGCGUGGGAAUAUACCCGACGCUAAGGAAUAGCCUCUGGAAACGGAGAGUAAUACCUUAUACGCCCUUCGGGGGAAAGAUUUAUCGGUGACGGAUUAGCCCGCGUUAGAUUAGAUAGUUGGUGGGGUAAUGGCCUACCAAGUCUACGAUCUAUAGCUGGUUUGAGAGGAUGAUCAGCAACACUGGGACUGAGACACGGCCCAGACUCCUACG